Molecule: unclassified non-coding RNA, 322 nt
Organism: Ochotona princeps (American pika)
Lineage: Eukaryota; Metazoa; Chordata; Mammalia; Lagomorpha; Ochotonidae
Gene: 7SK
Rfam family: 7SK RNA
About the family: 7SK was discovered as an abundant small nuclear RNA in the mid-70s but a possible function has only recently been suggested. Two independent studies have found that 7SK RNA binds the CDK9/cyclin T complex (known as elongation factor P-TEFb).
Source: Ensembl
GGAUGUGAGGGCGAUCUGGCUGCAACAUCUGUCACCCCAUUGAUCGCCAGGGUUGAUUCGGCUGAUCUGGCUGGCUAGGCAGGUGUCCCCUUCCCCCCUCACCGCUCCAUGUGCAUCCCUCCCGAAGCUGCACGCUCGGUCGAAGAGGACAACCAUCCCCGCUAGAGGAGGACCGGUCUUUGGUCAAGGGUAUAUGAGUAAAGCUGCGCUCCCCUGCUAGAACUUCCAAACAAGCUCUCGAGAAAUAGCCAGAAAAUAGUAUGAAUCUUUAGGUGAUUUGAUGGUAAAAUAACUGUCUUAAUACCUAUAGCUGCAAAUUAUU